UGGGGAAUAUUGCACAAUGGGCGCAAGCCUGAUGCAGCCAUGCCGCGUGUAUGAAGAAGGCCUUCGGGUUGUAAAGUACUUUCAGCGGGGAGGAAGGCGAUAAGGUUAAUAACCUUGUCGAUUGACGUUACCCGCAGAAGAAGCACCGGCUAACUCCGUGCCAGCAGCCGCGGUAAUACGGAGGGUGCAAGCGUUAAUCGGAAUUACUGGGCGUAAAGCGCACGCAGGCGGUCUGUCAAGUCGGAUGUGAAAUCCCCGGGCUCAACCUGGGAACUGCAUUCGAAACUGGCAGGCUAGAGUCUUGUAGAGGGGGGUAGAAUGCCAGGUGUAGCGGUGAAAUGCGUAGAGAUCUGGAGGAAUACCGGUGGCGAAGGCGGCCCCCUGGACAAAGACUGACGCUCAGGUGCGAAAGCGUGGGGAGCAAACA
This 427-nucleotide ribosomal RNA is filed under the name uncultured bacterium. RNAcentral describes it as "partial 16S ribosomal RNA". It matches the Rfam family "Bacterial small subunit ribosomal RNA", at positions 355 to 774 of the family's 1533-position model. The record is from RNAcentral.